CCUACGGGAGGCAGCAGUGAGGAAUAUUGGUCAAUGGACGAGAGUCUGAACCAGCCAAGUAGCGUGAAGGAUGACUGCCCUAUGGGUUGUAAACUUCUUUUAUAUGGGAAUAAAUUGUUCCACGUGUGGGAUUUUGUAUGUACCCUAUGAAUAACGAUCGGCGAAAUCCGUGCCCGCAGCCGCGGUAAUUCGGAGGAUCCGAGCGUUAUCCGGAUUUUUUGGGUUUAAAGGGAGCGUAGGUGGAUUGUUAAUUCAGUUGUGAAAGUUUGCGGCUCAACCGUAAAAUUGCAUUUGAAACUGGCAGUCGUGAGUAGAGGAGAGGUGGGCGGAAUGCGUGGUGUAGCGGUGAAAUGCAGAGAUAUCACGAAGAACUCCGAUUGCGAAGGCAGAUCACUGGACUGCAACUGACACUGAGGCUCGAAAGUGUGGGUAUCAAACAGGAUUAGAUACCCGAGUAGUA
This 460-nucleotide ribosomal RNA is filed under the name uncultured bacterium. RNAcentral describes it as "partial 16S ribosomal RNA". It matches the Rfam family "Bacterial small subunit ribosomal RNA", at positions 338 to 795 of the family's 1533-position model. The record is from RNAcentral.